GGAACUUGAAGUAUUAAAUUGGGAUGGCAUUAUUUUAUUGAAGUGGGGUUCUAGUUAAUUUACUUUGAGUAAAUUAGAGUGUUCAAAGCAGCCUCUUGGGGCUUUGAAUAGAUUUAGCAUGGGAUAAUAGAAUAGGAUUUGAUAAUCUAUUUGUUGGUUUGAAUUAAUCAAAUAAUGAUUAAUAGGGGACAGUUGGGGGCAUUCAUAUUAAGUGGUUAGCGGUGAAAUGUGUGGACCCACUUAAUAUGAACUAAAGCGAAAGCAUUUGCCAAGGAUGUUUUUCAUUAAUCAAGAACGAAAGUUAAGGGAUCGAAGACGAUUAGAUACCGUCGUAGUCUUGACUGUAAACUAUGCCGACCAGGGAUAUGAGUAGUAUAUUUCAUUAGUUUUCGGAUUAAUGAUACUUCUCCUUAUGCACCUUGUGAGAAAUCAUAAGUUUUUGGGUUCUGGGGGUAAGUAUGGUCGCAAGGCUGAAACUUAAAGGAAUUGACGGAGGG
This 497-nucleotide ribosomal RNA is filed under the name uncultured eukaryote. Its description in RNAcentral is "bacterial SSU rRNA". It matches the Rfam family "Eukaryotic small subunit ribosomal RNA", at positions 693 to 1163 of the family's 1831-position model. The record is from RNAcentral.